GUGUCACUGCUACACACACUUUAAGAGCUGUAGUGCUGAUCAGAGUGUGUUCAGUCCUUUCAGAGCCACUGACACGCAGCACAAUGAUGAUGGUACUGAGUCUCCUGCUGGGGACACUGGGACUCCUCGCUCACCAGUCUUUUGGGGAAAUCGUCCUGACUCAGUCUCCAGGAUCUCAGUCUGUUUCUCCAGGAGAAUCUGUUACUCUCACCUGUACAACCAGUCAGAGUGUUAGCAAUGCUCUCGCCUGGUACCUGCAGAAACCUGGAGAAGCUCCUAAACUCCUGAUCUAUGCUGCAUCUACUCGUCAGUCUGGGAUUCCAGAUCGUUUCAGUGGCAGUGGAUCUGGAACACAGUAUAGUCUAAAAAUCUCUGGAGUUCAGGCUGAAGAUGCAGGAGAUUAUUAUUGUCAGCAGUAUAGCAGCUUUCCAUACACACAGUGUUACAGCGUCGUACAAAAACCUCCCUGAGCUGUAGAGGAAGUGCUCUGACUCAGAAACACACACUGAUCUGAGAACAGCUGCACAGCUGCUAAAGCUGCACUCCACUGAACAUCAUCAAACAUCUUCAUGUUUCAAAAAUAAUCCUUCUUAAAAAGCAGAAAUCUCUUCAUCAGCUGUUCGUGCUGUGAUGAGAAAUCAGCUGAUGUGUGUAAUGAUAUCUGAUGAUUUCC
Molecule: non-coding RNA, 673 nt
Organism: Tachysurus vachellii
Lineage: Eukaryota; Metazoa; Chordata; Actinopteri; Siluriformes; Bagridae
Source: the annotation of a RefSeq genome assembly